GAUGAAGAACGCAGCGAAAUGCGAUAAGUAAUGUGAAUUGCAGAAUUCAGUGAAUCAUCGAAUCUUUGAACGCACAUUGCGCCCGCCAGAAUACUGGCGGGCAUGCCUGUCCGAGCGUCAUUUCAACCCUCGAACCCCUCCGGGGGGUCGGCGUUGGGGAUCGGGAACCCCUAAGACGGGAUCCCGGCCCCGAAAUACAGUGGCGGUCUCGCCGCAGCCUCUCCUGCGCAGUAGUUUGCACAACUCGCACCGGGAGCGCGGCGCGUCCACGUCCGUAAAACACCCAACUUCUGAAAUGUUGACCUCGGAUCAGGUAGGAAUACCCGCUGAACUUAAGCAUAUCAAUAAGCGGAGGA
Molecule: unclassified non-coding RNA, 356 nt
Filed under: soil metagenome
Description: partial contains 5.8S ribosomal RNA, internal transcribed spacer 2, and large subunit ribosomal RNA
Rfam family: 5.8S ribosomal RNA (bases 1-120)
Source: RNAcentral